CGUAGGUGGCAGGCGUUGUCCGGAAUUAUUGGGCGUAAAGCGCGCGCAGGCGGUCCUUUAAGUCUGAUGUGAAAGCCCACGGCUCAACCGUGGAGGGUCAUUGGAAACUGGGGGACUUGAGUACAGAAGAGAAGAGUGGAAUUCCACGUGUAGCGGUGAAAUGCGUAGAGAUGUGGAGGAACACCAGUGGCGAAGGCGACUCUUUGGUCUGUAACUGACGCUGAGGCGCGAAAGCGUGGGGAGCAAACAGGAUUAGAUACCCUGGUAGUCCACGCUGUAAACGAUGAGUGCUAAGUGUUAGAGGGUUUCCGCCCUUUAGUGCUGUAGCUAACGCAUUAAGCACUCCGCCUGGGGAGUACGGCCGCAAGGCUG
Molecule: ribosomal RNA, 372 nt
Filed under: uncultured organism
Description: bacterial SSU rRNA
Rfam family: Bacterial small subunit ribosomal RNA
Source: RNAcentral